AUGCAAGACGCUAACCCACAAUCAACCAUUAGCAUAACAAACGACAAAGAAGAAGAAAACAACGAGGAGGAGGUAUCACAAGCACUGCAAGACCAAGAGACAUCCCGUGUUGAAAUUGAAGCCCAUAGUGAACCUCAAACAGACGAAGGCGUCACAGAACAGGAACUUUGUGUACAAGAGAUUUCCAGCGCCACAACAUUGCAGAUCACCAUCACGAGUACAAAGGAGAAAGCGCAAGACAUCCCAGCCGAUGAGAAACAAGAGACUGUUAUACCUGACAAAGAAAUAGUAGAUGCAGGCACAAAUAACCCAGUCAUCAACACGGAGGAAACAAACGAGUACGCUGAUCUCGAAGAUCAAGAACUUCAAACAACAACAUCUGAAGAGGUGAGGUUACAAAGCUCAGACACAAAUGAAGUUCAAUCUAUAAUUUCAUUUUUUAUUAAACAGAAAGAGGAAGCAUGCAAAAGCACUGGCAUAGACAUUCAACAAGAAAAACUAGAGGACAACACGAGACAAGGAGAAGUCGUAGUACAAGCAGUAGACAGUCCUGCAACUCCAGAGAUAGAGGCACAAGAAGCUCAAGAAACCAUCAACAAUCAAGACCAUCAAACCCAACCAGAGGAGCCCAAUGAACAACCCGAGCAUGUUCUUCAAACGAGAGAGGAGACCAAUGAGCAAAAGGAGGACACUGAAGAAGGGCAACAUGUUCUUCAAAAGUCAGUCAUCAACGUAACAGAAGACCAAGCCCCAAAAUAUUCACUCACCGAAAAACACGCAGCAGAGAGGGCAGCAGCAACAACGACUGAAAAGCUCGACAAAGAACGGGUCGAACAGUCAGCAUCACCAACAACAGCUCAACAGAAACACGAAGAAGGCGACCACGGAGAUACAAGUCAGUGCCAACCAGGUCGAGACUGA
Molecule: ribosomal RNA, 921 nt
Filed under: Triticum aestivum (bread wheat)
Lineage: Eukaryota; Viridiplantae; Streptophyta; Magnoliopsida; Poales; Poaceae
Description: partial small subunit ribosomal RNA
Source: RNAcentral